UUAACCAAUUUUCAGCAAAUGGUUAUUAAUGUUUACUUUCAGAACCACACGCACAGCAUGUGCAGCUGGUGACUCUGCGUGGGCCACCUGCUACCUAGUGCUUUUUCAAUCAUGCCUGAUUACAACGACGAGGGAGAAAAACACCAGAUAGCUCAGCCUGAUAUGUUUUUUAUCAUUCAGUCUGCUUUUGGGCAGAGGAGUUCAAACCACGAGUGUCAGCAGUGUGUAAGACAGCGUGGGGCUCGGGCCACCUGCCGCAGUGGACCCCUGGCUUAGUUUCCAUGUGCUAUCUUAGCAUGGCAGAAAGCGGAUUCCAACCAGCCACAGCAGGUGACAGGAGCUGAAGCUCAGCCCUUCCUGAAAGCAACCCAUGCCCUCGAGGAUGCUGACGGUGAUCUGAGUACAUUUUCCAGCUCCCUUGUUCUGUGUAAAUAAAUGUUUAAGAAGAAAUAAGCACUAGCAGCGAUCCCUAGCACUUUAUGAAGACCAGGAUACUGAUACUCCCUUCCCGUUGGAUGGCACACCACAGUUUGUUUGCAUUUCAUUUGCUAUUUAUAACAAUAGAGGAAGAAAGACAAAAUGUUUUUGUUUUUGUUUUAACACGUGAAGAACAUGAGAUCGGAAGAGGUAAAGUUAAUUUCCCAGAAUUAUCUAUGCUAAGCCUUGAAAAGCCAUGUUUAUUACAGAUCAGAUAUUUACUCUAAAACAAAAGUGUAGAAUAGCAGAAAAACAAUGGACUUAGAGGUCAAAAGGCUAUAAUUUUGUCCACAUACAUCUCUAUGAUCCCAAGCCAGUCAUUUACUUUCUCUGAGCCUGAUAUUCUCAUCCAUAAAGUGGAACCACCUGUCUUUUGCAUAGUCAAGGAGGCAGUGCCCAUGGAGGAGCACUGAGUUAUAAAGGGCUAACUCCUGUGAGGGAUGACUCCGGUCAUGGUGACCAGUUAUCCUCUCCUCUGAAUUUUGUUCUUCAGAGGCCAACUUGAAAGAGUUUGAAGCCUGAGGUUGGAUUUAUAGGCACUAGAAUACAUCAGCUUCAAACAUUCACAAAUCAGGAACUGAUUUCAUCUCCUCUUGAAACCUAUCAUCUGUUAGCUAAAAUAGCUCUGGUUGCUUUUAUUCCAGAUAAUAACACUUAAAGUUUUAAUGAGAGAUGAGCAUGUUCAUUAAAAAACAAGUCAAAUGAAACUAAAAAAAAAAAUCAUUUACUUGGAAAUCCAUGCCUGUAAUGAAGUCAUACUAUUGUGUAGACAACAGUGGAAUGAUUAGGUCUGAUUUUAAAAAAAGAGUUGUCACCAGCACCCUAUGUAGAAAGACUUUUUUUCAAUUUCCAUGAGAGUUGUGUUCACUUGCAAAUUGGUUGUGAGGCAGCCAGGUGGGAGGGGGUCCCCGGAAAAAUUCCAACCAGACUGCGCCCUGGGAAGGGUGUGCACUGGGGUGGAGCCACAGAAGUGCGAACCCUUUGCAGUGGGGAGGAGCCUGGCCCCUCCUCUUCCUGGGUGGAGCUGGGGAUUCAAGCUGCGAGGCAGUAAGCACACUAGAUGAACUCUGGCCUUGAGGAGUCCCUGUUUCCCUUUUUUCCUUUUCACCCAAUAAAACCCUGCUUUACUCACCCUUCAAACCAUCUGCCAGCUUGAAUUUUCAUGGCUGUGGGACGGACAAGGACCCCGUCUUUAGCUGAACUAAGGAAAAGUCCUGCGGCAGUUGUGUGAGGUUAUUAACACAAGCUACACAGAAACACAUGUUAUCCACGUUAGGCCAGCCUCUCCAUGCCUAUUUGAUGGAAGUGCAGGCAAAAUGUAAGAAGAAUAACUCUGCUGUGUUUUGGAUUAAAAGGAUUUUUGUGGACUAGCAUGAUUAUUUAUUUACUGUACCUAUAGGCAAAUGUAUUCAUGAAUGGUAGCUCAAAAUGUUGCAAGUAGACAUCAGCUGUUUUCAGAACAGCUCAGAGAGAUGCCACCCUGCCAAUGAGAAGAAGCUUAGGAAGGGGGAGCCCUCUGCAGCUGCUCCGGGUACUUGGCACAUGGCCAGAAGGGAUCCCACACCCUGCAUCUGCCAUGGCCUCUCAAAGAAAGAGAAGAAAAUGUUUCACCCAUGCAUCGAACAUGCCUCUAUACAGGACAGUCAUAAUUUGGGUGUUUAUAGGUCAGGGAUGACUGUGAUGCAUUUCCUAACUUUUAUUCUCUGCUGUAGCUAUGUAAGAUGGGGAGUCUUUAGCUAUAUGCCCUAAAACACAGAAAUAACCUGACCCCAGGCCUGUUACUGUGGCAGCUUGGUUGGCCUUUAGAGGUUAACAUUCAAAUCCUCAAAAGGAAGAAACUCGUAUGAGAGAAUAACAUCUUCAGAUACUGAAGCAGAAAGAAUAUUAAAGCAUAUGGAUUCAGAAAAAAAAAAAAA
This 2393-nucleotide long non-coding RNA is filed under the name Homo sapiens (human). RNAcentral describes it as "non-protein coding lnc-MBNL2-3:1". The record is from RNAcentral. Lineage: Eukaryota; Metazoa; Chordata; Mammalia; Primates; Hominidae.